Molecule: long non-coding RNA, 500 nt
Organism: Dromiciops gliroides (monito del monte)
Lineage: Eukaryota; Metazoa; Chordata; Mammalia; Microbiotheria; Microbiotheriidae
Exons: 3
Source: RefSeq, a predicted model, not a curated record
UUUCCCUCCCAGAUAAGGAGAUGAAUGUCCUUCCCUGCAAUGUCUUCUAUCUCUAUGGUAACAGGUUGGAAUCUCCUGAUGGAUGGAAAUAUCCUUAUAUAUUCAGAGAGAAAACAAUUCUUUGAAGACUUGAUUAAUUUUAUUUUUGCCAUAUGUACAAACAAGAGCCUUAUGUUAGACCGAGUGCCAAAUGAAAAGCAGAACAAGCAAUCUUGUUUGGAACAGCAGAAAAACAUUCUGAGUGAGUGUGAAGUAAGGCUUCUGAGGAAAAUGGCUAUGAACAGGAAUGCCCCAAACCACACUUUCUGUGAAUUUCAUGUGAAAAAGUCACCAAAUGAUUGGGCCAUCAUAAGGGCCUAAUGCAAUGAGUACAAUGCCAGACACAAACAAGAGCGUCUAUAGGGAAUCCAUCUUCAUCUGGGACCUGACUCUGGAUCAUCUCCAUGAUGCUGAUGAACACCUUUGAUGAUCAUACAUCUCUCCCUGUUUAAUAAUAAUGA